Molecule: ribosomal RNA, 233 nt
Filed under: uncultured bacterium
Lineage: Bacteria
Description: partial 16S ribosomal RNA
Rfam family: Bacterial small subunit ribosomal RNA
Source: RNAcentral
UACGUAGGGUGCAAGCGUUAAUCGGAAUACUGGGCGUAAAGCGUGCGCAGGCGGUUUUGUAAGUCUGUCGUGAAAUCCCCGGGCUCAACCUGGGAAUUGCGAUGGAGACUGCAAGGCUAGAAUCUGGCAGAGGGGGGUAGAAUUCCACGUGUAGCAGUGAAAUGCGUAGAGAUGUGGAGGAACACCGAUGGCGAAGGCAGCCCCCUGGGUCAAGAUUGACGCUCAUGCACGAA